RNAcentral lists this ribosomal RNA (253 nucleotides) under uncultured bacterium. RNAcentral's name for it is "partial 16S ribosomal RNA". It matches the Rfam family "Bacterial small subunit ribosomal RNA", at positions 524 to 776 of the family's 1533-position model. The record is from RNAcentral.
UACGUAGGGUGCGAGCGUUAAUCGGAAUUACUGGGCGUAAAGCGUGCGCAGGCGGUUUUGUAAGCCAGAUGUGAAAUCCCCGGGCUUAACCUGGGAACUGCGUUUGAAACUGGAAGGCUAGAGUGUGGCAGAGGGGGGUGGAAUUCCACGUGUAGCAGUGAAAUGCGUAGAUAUGUGGAGGAACACCGAUGGCGAAGGCAGCCCCCUGGGCUAACACUGACGCUCAUGCACGAAAGCGUGGGGAGCAAACAGG